Molecule: ribosomal RNA, 253 nt
Filed under: uncultured bacterium
Lineage: Bacteria
Description: partial 16S ribosomal RNA
Rfam family: Bacterial small subunit ribosomal RNA
Source: RNAcentral
UACGUAGGGGGUAAGCGUUGUCCGGAAUCAUUGGGCGUAAAGCGCGUGUAGGCGGCUCGAUAAGUCUGCUGUGAAAGUCCAAGGCUCAACCUUGGGAUGCCGGUGGAUACUGUCGAGCUCGAGUCCGGAAGAGGAGUGUGGAAUUCCUGGUGUAGCGGUGAAAUGCGCAGAUAUCAGGAGGAACACCAAUGGCGAAGGCAGCACUCUGGGACGUGACUGACGCUGAGACGCGAAAGCGUGGGGAGCAAACAGG